CAUGCCGUAAACGAUGAUCACUAGCUGUUUGCGAUAUAUUGUAAGUGGCAAAGGGAAACCAUUAAGUGAUCCACCUGGGGAGUACGCCCGCAAGGGUGAAACUCAAAGGAAUUGACGGGGGCCCGCACAAGCGGAGGAACAUGUGGUUUAAUUCGAUGAUACGCGAGGAACCUUACCUGGAUUUAAAUGGGGAGUGACAGGCUUAGAGAUAGGCUUUUCUUCGGACACUCUUCAAGGUGC
RNAcentral lists this ribosomal RNA (240 nucleotides) under uncultured bacterium. RNAcentral's name for it is "partial 16S ribosomal RNA". It matches the Rfam family "Bacterial small subunit ribosomal RNA", at positions 796 to 1041 of the family's 1533-position model. The record is from RNAcentral.